Long non-coding RNA from Malus domestica (apple), 945 nucleotides. RefSeq lists it as uncharacterized. The record is from RefSeq and is a predicted model, not a curated record. NCBI's taxonomy places the organism in Eukaryota, Viridiplantae, Streptophyta, Magnoliopsida, Rosales, Rosaceae.
UAAGGGCACGAUCAUUGUCACAGUCCGUCCCGAAUAACUAAUUUUCGAUGACGCGAAAUGAUAAUUUUACCUUUGGAUGUUAAGUGUAUGGUGUGAUUUAAGUUGGAUUUGGACCCAUUUAUUAUUUUCCCUAAGUUUUUGGACCCAAUUGGAAGUAAGGGAAUUGUUGGUUUUGAUUGGUGGCUUUUGGACCACACACAUACCUUAUCUUUCUUUCUAUCCUGUGGACUUCUCUCUCUCUCCCUCUCGGUUCACACACACUCUCUCUCUUCGAACUCAUACGGACACACAUAAACAAACCCAAAAUCUACACGGAUCGAAGGUUUUGAGGUCUCCAGUGUGUUCCUAGGAUCCUUACGAGUCAAGUGGUACCCAUUUUCAGCAAGGAAACCUUCGAGAAACCUUAGUUUGAAAGAGAGUCGUGGGUGUACAGUACACCAAACCAGUUCGUGGAGGUUUCAAGCCGUUCUAAGGCUCAAAAGGACCACAGUGAGCUCAAGGAGGUCCUCACAAUGCUCGGAGUGCAUCGUUGGUAGGAUUUGGACCACGUGAAGCUCAAAAACAGAGCUUUGCAAAGGUUACUGGAGUUCGAUGACUUCUCCAACGUAAUUUCACGUGAAUCGAGGCAUGAAAGAGCAAGGAAACCUUCGAGAAACCCUAGUUUGAAAGAGAGCCAUAGGUGUACAGUACACCAAACCAGUUCGUGGAGGUUUCAAGCCGUUCUAAGGCUCAAAAGGACCACAGUGAGCUCAAGGAAGUCCUCACAAUGCUCGGAGUGCAUCUUUGGUAGGAUUUGGACCAUGGGAAGCUCGAAAACGGAGCUUUGCAAAGGUCGCCGGAGUUCGAGGACUUCUCCAACGUAAUUUCACAUCGAGGCGUGAAAGAGGUGAGGCUUAUCCCGAGGAGGAGCGUAUCCACGGGCGACUCGGGGGUUACGACCCGUCG